GAGGUUUUUAAGAGUUCCUUGAUACUCUAAGGUACUAACUUACCCGUAAAAGUUAGAGGUUCUUAAGAGUGCCCUUGAUACUCUAAGGUGUGAGUCUACCCGUAAAAGACUGGUUCCUAAGCGAAGUAGCCUUAAAGCUUAGAGAGGUUUUUAAGAGUUCCUUGAUACUCUAAGGUACUAACUUACUCGUAAAAGUUAGAGGUUCUUAAGAGUGUCCUUGAUACUCUAAGGUGUGAGUCUACCCGUAAAAGACUGGUUCCUAAGCGAAGUAGCCUUAAAGCUUAGAGAGGUUCUUAAGAGUUUCCUUGAUACUCUAAGGUUUUGCCAUUACCUUUAGGCGAGUGAAUUCCGGCAGUUGGUCGGGACUGGACUAGCCCUUGUUUGGGUGAACCAGUAUAAAUCUUUUGUGUUGUUCUCUGUUAAUUAUAGUUUUAUCUUUUAUCUAAAAACAACACUUAAUUAAAAAUAUCCCUCUUCCAGUUAUCUGGUCAAAUACAGAGGUUGACUACUUUACGCAGAUCCCUCAUCCAGUUAUCUGGUCAACCAUCUGAGGUUAUAUUCAUUGCUUUAUUCAUAUUUGUUCAAGCAUUUACUUAUCAUAUAUAUAUCCAGUUAUCUGGUCAUCUACUUGUUUAUCAAUAUAUCCAGUUAUCUGGUCAUUUACUUGCUUAUCAUAUAUCCAGUUAUCUGGUCAUUUACUUUAUAAUAUAACUUGUGUUUAUAAUAUAACUUAGUAUUCAUAUACUAUAGUUGUUUAUAAAACACCAUCUGAAAAGUUGACUACGUAUUCAUAUACUGUAGUAAACUUAAGGAGCAAAAGGCAAGUCCAAUAUAUAAUAUUAUAAGAUAUAAUAUUAUAUUCUUUAAAAUUAUAUAAUAGUAUUAUAUUGCUAACAAUAUUAUACUAUUAUUAUUAUACAACCAUUUGUGUACUUAAGUGUGUGCAGGUAAUUCCGCUAUUAACUUGCAUUAAUCGAAAAGAGGCUAUUAUCCUCCCUUAUAGCCUCGGAUCUCGAUCCAAC
This 1022-nucleotide long non-coding RNA is filed under the name Zostera marina. RNAcentral describes it as "long non-coding RNA (ZMAR_LNC003119)". The record is from RNAcentral. Lineage: Eukaryota; Viridiplantae; Streptophyta; Magnoliopsida; Alismatales; Zosteraceae.